This is a long non-coding RNA of Mauremys reevesii (Reeves's turtle), 626 nucleotides long. RefSeq lists it as uncharacterized. The record is from RefSeq and is a predicted model, not a curated record. NCBI's taxonomy places the organism in Eukaryota, Metazoa, Chordata, Testudines, Geoemydidae. The transcript has 2 exons.
CCCCUGACUGACAGCGCGCGGGAAAGCGCUGGGCUGUAACCGCCAAGUCCCCCGACUCGGCCCUCCCCCGCCUGCCCUUCAGUCACCCCGGGCUCAGCCCACCCCCAGCUCUGUGAGGGACCCGCGGCCCCCGUAAUCGGUCUCUCUGGGGCCGCGCCUCAUUCCUCUGCAGGCCCAGCUGCCGAGACACUGCAGCCUUCCCAGCGCGCGCUCCCUGCGCCCUGGCACCAGCCGGCAGCCCUUUGCCGGGGGGAACUGAGGCUGCCUGUCCCACCCCACAGGGAUGUUUCCCGCACCCAGCGGUGGAACGCGAAGGGAAGUGGGUUCGCCUUGCCGAUUGGCCCAGUAGCACAAACUGCACUUGGAGACUGAGAGCUGAGAAAAACGCAGCAGUGAGCAGCAGGGGGAGAUACUGAACGAACUCUCAGUAAUCAUAGUGGUCUUCAUUGGAGGAAGAUGAGGGGUACCUCCUGGAAGUGUCAAUUCCCCAAGUACUGCAGAUGUUGGAGGGGGACUCAAGAUAGAAUUUGCACCCACAAGCUUUAGUAAAAAGGCAAAGACACAAAAUGUCAAGUUGAUUCAAUUGUAAUCUCGCUCUCGCUUUUGAAAUAAAAUUUCUGAUUGGA